GACGAACGCUGGCGGCGUGCUUAACACAUGCAAGUCGAACGGAAAGGCCUCUUUCGGGGGGUACUCGAGUGGCGAACGGGUGAGUAACAAGUGAGUAACCUGCCCUUGACUUUGGGAUAACUUCAGGAAACUGGGGCUAAUACCGGAUAGGAGCUCCUGCUGCAUGGUGGGGGUUGGAAAGUUUCGGCGGUUGGGGAUGGACUCGCGGCUUAUCAGCUUGUUGGUGGGGUAGUGGCUUACCAAGGCUUUGACGGGUAGCCGGCCUGAGAGGGUGACCGGCCACAUUGGGACUGAGAUACGGCCCAGACUCCUACGGGAGGCAGCAGUGGGGAAUAUUGCACAAUGGGUGGAAGCCUGAUGCAGCAACGCCGUGUGCGGGAUGACGGCCUUCGGGUUGUAAACCGCUUUCGCUCAUGACGAAGCUUUGUGUGACGGUAGUGGGUAAAGAAGCACCGGCUAACUACGU
This 466-nucleotide ribosomal RNA is filed under the name uncultured bacterium. RNAcentral describes it as "partial 16S ribosomal RNA". It matches the Rfam family "Bacterial small subunit ribosomal RNA", at positions 28 to 506 of the family's 1533-position model. The record is from RNAcentral.